This 328-nucleotide ribosomal RNA is filed under the name uncultured eubacterium EU1. Its description in RNAcentral is "bacterial SSU rRNA". It matches the Rfam family "Bacterial small subunit ribosomal RNA", at positions 1 to 334 of the family's 1533-position model. The record is from RNAcentral.
AUUAGAGUUUGAUCCUGNCUCAGGAUGAACGCUAGCGGCAGGCCUAAUACAUGCAAGUCGGACGGGAUUGGGAGCUUGNUUCCAUGAGAGUGGCGCACGGGUGCGUAACACGUAUGUAACCUACCUUUAUCAGGGGGAUAGCCUCUCGAAAGAGAGAUUAACACCGCAUAAUAUGAUUGGAUAGCAUUAUUUAAUCAUCAAAUAUUUAUAGGAUAAAGAUGGGCAUGCGGGACAUUAGCUAGUUGGCGGGGUAACGGCCCACCAAGGCGACGAUGUCUAGGGGAUCUGAGAGGAUGACCCCCCACACUGGUACUGAGACACGGACCAG